This 510-nucleotide ribosomal RNA is filed under the name uncultured archaeon. RNAcentral's name for it is "bacterial SSU rRNA". It matches the Rfam family "Archaeal small subunit ribosomal RNA", at positions 345 to 859 of the family's 1478-position model. The record is from RNAcentral.
AAACUUUACAAUGCGAGCAAUCGUGAUAAGGAAACCCUGAGUGCCUGUCAAUGCAGGCUGUUCUGGUGUCUAACACACACCAGGAGGAAGGGCGGGGCAAGACCGGUGCCAGCCGCCGCGGUAAUACCGGCUGCUCGAGUGAUAGCCGCUUUUACUGGGCUUAAAGCGUUCGUAGCUUGGUCGUUAACUCUCUGGGGAAAUCUUUUGGCUUAACCAAAAGGCGUCUCAGGGAAAGUGGCGAUCUUGGAACCGGGAGAGGUAAGACGUACUUCGGGGGUAGGAGUGAAAUCUUGUAAUCCCCGAGGGACGACCGAUGGCGAAGGCAUCUUACCAGAACGGCUUCGACAGUGAGGGACGAAAGCUGGGGGAGCAAACCGGAUUAGAUACCCGGGUAGUCCCAGCCGUAAACGAUGUGCGUUAGGUGUGUCAGCGACCACGAGUCGCUGAGGUGCCGAAGGGAAACCGUGAAACGCACCGCCUGGGAAGUACGGUCGCAAGGCUGAAACUUAA